UGAAGGUGGUUGAGGUAGCCAUUGUGUUUGUGAGUUUGGUGUGAUGUGUAAGAGCGUAGGAGUUUAUUUUGCUGCUUAUAGUGAUUUGGCAUAAGAUCUUGCAGUUCCUAAGAGACGUUGGAAUUCACUGGUUGGUGCCACUGUUCUUUUAUUGUGGAGCAGUGAGAAUGGAAGUAGUGUCACCCUCACCUUCAAGGAGUUCAUGAACUUCAGGCUGAAGAUGGACAAUCUCAAAGUUUCUGCCAUGACUGCAGUGCAUGGAGUGCUGUGUACAUAGCCCACGUGAACAGUGCUGGAGUGGUAUCACUGAAGAAGUUGCUGUUCUAAGUGAUGGAGGAUGUGGGACCCAGCUUACGGCAUCCGUAAAGGUCCUACCUCAUGCCCCCCUGAUGGACAUGCUUGACUUCGCAUCAAGGAAGGAUUGCCCUUGGAGAUCUCCAGUUGCCUCCACUAGACGUGCACGGAAUGUCGGCAACUAAUCGUCAGUUCCUGUGUGACAGUAGGGAAGAAAUUAUCCUUCCAAGUGACAGAGGAUGUCAAGAACUUUGCAUUCUCUAAGGAAGAUUCCUCUUUCCUAGUGGCUAAGAGUCUGUGUGUGUGUAUGUGGCGUGGUUGGCUAUUCAGAAGCAGGAGCUGACUUGAAUUUCCAUGCUCACUGUAAGUGCAGUUAUAAGGCAUUUAUGAUUUCAGUGUCAUUCUCUUGUACUUGUCACAGUGAUUGGAAAUACCAUUAGAAGGAACUGUAAUUGUUUCUCUCUGUUGAAAGUCCUGCACAUUCUGGGAUGUGACCCUUUGUAGUUUGCUAGAACUGACAUUUCAGGGGAACAUGUUACUGUCAUCUUCAAAGAGUAAGCAGAGUCCUCUGAAAUGUCAGUAAACUUAUAUCAAACUGCAUGGUUUCACACCCCUGUGGACAGUUCUCUUCCUCACCGUUGCUGUGAAGACCCGAGAUCUUACACGGUCCUGUAGCAGUGCUGGUGAGUGAGCGUGGAGUGCACAGCCUGUCCAUCCCCUGAGUCUGUUUGCCACACAAGAAUGUGAAGUGUCAGCGAGUCCCUUGUUAUAUGGGAUCCGUGUUCACAGAGCGGUUACUAGGAGAUGCAACAGAUGUCGCGAACUCCUGCCAGGCUGAUAAGGAUGUCUGCGUUAGGUGGCAGCACCGCGCAAGGCCCUAAUAGCGAUUAAAUAGAAAGCACGUACUGAACACAUUGGGUGCUGUCCAAAGAAUUUUUUCCUAAUGGUGAAAUUGAAGAUGAAUUUCUUAUGGGUGUUUCUUAAAUUAAUAUAUUUUUCAGCUGUGAAAAUUGCUAUUUAUUGUGAGAAUCAUACGGAACACAAAAAAUCAAAGAUUUUAAUGUUAAAGUAGGUGGUGCAUAGUGUAAUUACCGCUGUUUGCUGUUACAGGCGCCUAGAGGAAAGGAAUGAGCGAGACGAAACAAACCGCACUUUUUACAGCCACCAAAUCGAUACACCCUGUAUUUGCUGAAAAUGUAAUGUUGUUAUGUGAAAGGACUCAGUGGCUUUCUUAAUGUCACUGGGAUGGCGAUGAAAGAUCAACUGUGCUAGCAUUUAACACCGUUACCCCUUAGAACAGUGCCAUCCUCUCUCUGCAGGUAGGAAGUCGCACCCGUACUGCUGGACUUUUGCCAGGCAACGGUCCUCGGAAAGCAUAAUUCAUUAUUCUCACAAACCACGGGAAUAAAAAGUGUUGUUCUGCCAUUUUGAGAGGGAGGGACCCACCCAACAUGUUUACAUCCCCAUGGCAAAGCACCAAGGACCACGGGAAAGAUGCCUGCCAGAAACACAGAACCGAGUGGGAGCUGGGAAUGCAACACGACCAGAGGACAGUGAAACAGAUGUGGCGUAUCAGAUCUUCUGCUGUAAUUUCAGUUAUUUCAUUUCAGAGAUGUUAUCGCUUUCAGGCCAGGAAUGCACAACUGUCAGGUCAGGAUCUUCAUAAAGAAUCAUGAAGGGAAUGAACAGGAGGAAAAGAAGAAAGUUUAUUCCUAAUAUCUUGGCUCAGAAAGGGCUGCACAUGAGCCCACUGUUUUUUUGUGUGGGGGGGCGAGAAAUGUUUCUUACAAGUUUACGCUGAAACAGCACUGGGUCGCCCUAGAGUAGUCAGGAUAGAAGAAUGGUUUUGUUUAAUUUUAAUUUUUAUUAAUGUUUGGUACAUUCCCUUUAUUCUUCAAUUUUGUUUCCUCUUCAGGAAUCUGUGGUGGGGUGACAUACUUAACCCCCCCCACCCC
Molecule: long non-coding RNA, 2249 nt
Organism: Cryptotermes secundus
Lineage: Eukaryota; Metazoa; Arthropoda; Insecta; Blattodea; Kalotermitidae
Exons: 5
Source: RefSeq, a predicted model, not a curated record